Cryptomeria japonica (Japanese cedar) is the source of this 1389-nucleotide long non-coding RNA. RefSeq lists it as uncharacterized. The record is from RefSeq and is a predicted model, not a curated record. The transcript is spliced from 2 exons. NCBI's taxonomy places the organism in Eukaryota, Viridiplantae, Streptophyta, Pinopsida, Cupressales, Cupressaceae.
GGUGAAAUCUAUCAGGACACAAACCUUCAGCAGAUUGUAGAAGGGCUGGACGAAACCCUAGUUCUUCAUUUGGAGUAGGUUCGUGACGGAAUCUACAUUGGUGCUUAACUUGUGAAGUCUUCUCUUGAAAACGAAUUUGCAGCUGAGAGUGGAGGAUAAGUCAGUCCUUCAUAUUGUGCUUAUCAAGUUUUGUUUCAUAUUUAUGGUAGAUGGGUUCAUGGAAUUAUCAGAUUUUCAGAUUAAGGGCACAUAGUAUAUCAAUUUUGAUUGGAGCCGUGAGGCGAUUUUAUUGGAGAACAUUUUGAAGAGGAUUUGUGAAUUUUCUGUUGUAAGUUGCAGGUCUGAAGACAAAUUCGUAUUUUACAUCCUUACCCACGAUUUGGUUCAUAGUCCAUUGUUGGUGCAUCGAUUCUUACCUUGGAGGACAGCAAUUACAUCUUGAAGAUAAGGCAAUUAUUUUGGACAUUUUGGGUAUGAGUUUGGCGAAGGUUGAAGACACUUUUUGGUGAUCAGAUCAGUCCGAACCUGAGUACUUGGAGACCUUCGAUGUUUCGCAUAACCUCAAAGUUUGGUGUAGAUUUCAAUUACUGAGUACAGCGCCUACCUUCAGCAAUUAGUUCGAUCAGUUUGGGGUGGCAGUUGGACACUUGUAUGCAGAUCAUAUAAGAUACUUAGACCAUCUACUAGCAGCAGCCGGGACGGCACCUAUCUUGGUCCAAUUUAGCUCAUUUGAGCCUCAACAUCAUGGAUAUUGCUUAAUACUUCAAUACCUCAAGGAGGCGAUUCAUAUCAGGCUCAACCCACCCUUACUCGAGCACUUGAAGAUGGCAAUGUUGAUGAACUUGUUGAUCGCCAAUUGCAGAACUAAAAUUCAAAUAAGAUGAUGCCACUGGUUGCAUGUGCAGCCUAUUCUGUUCAAUAUUUUGCAAGAAGACACCCUCGUAUGGCACAGGGAUGUUGUCUACUUCUAGUGAGAUAUAUUUGUCAAGCUUUGAAUUAUAUUGUGUGUACAACAUGCUUCUAUUUGAAUACUAUUGUUUUGAGUGCCUAGACUGAAAGUAGCCAUGUUCUCCAGAUAGCUCGAGCCUUGGAAGGUGAUGUUUCUCUUGAUGAUCUAAAUGAGGGAGUGAAGCUAGGGCAUAGUACUGUGUGUGGAUCAUAUAGAAACACGAACUAUGAUUCCAGCCAAUAUCUUUUUAAAGCUUUUCAUUAGUUUGGCUUAUUCUGUAAAAUUUUAAGCAGAGCAUUGCAAUUGAAUGUUUAAAAUUUCCUAGACCACAAGCAUGAAUGUUUGAUAGUCUCAGAAAAUUGUGACAAAAAAUUAUAUCAAACCUCUUUUUUGGCAUUGUGUUUGGUUAAAUUCAGCUUGUAUAUUUUCCUUUUUGAAUA